CAAACCAGGAGAGUUGCAUCUUGCUCCAUUUGGUUAGAAGGCCGCGUAAUGAGGAUAGCAAAGGGACAAAGCCUGAUUGGUCGGUGUGUAUUAAGGUUGGGUAAAGGGGGCGUCUAUUGACUGACUAUCUUCUAAAGUUGCUGCCUAUUGAGAUGAGACUACCUCUGAGAACGCAUUUCAGGGUCUCCCAGAUUGUUCCAGGGGAGAUCGAACAAGAGCUGUUAUCUUGUAGGAUCUGUAUGAUGUUUGAUUUAAUCUGUUCUCUGACUUGUUCUUUGUGUAGCAAUAAAUCAUUCAUUCUCCAUGUGAAAUCAGGCUUAGUGGUCUUUGGUAUUACAAACUUAGCAAAAAUAGGGGAGUGAUCAGAUAGUGUGCUAUUACCUAUUUUUGCCUGUGUGAACAGGUGUAACCAGUUUUGUGAAACCAUAAUGUAGUCUAUUCUUGAAUAAACCAUGUGAGUUUUUGAAAA
Molecule: long non-coding RNA, 469 nt
Organism: Xenopus tropicalis (tropical clawed frog)
Lineage: Eukaryota; Metazoa; Chordata; Amphibia; Anura; Pipidae
Exons: 4
Source: RefSeq, a predicted model, not a curated record